UACGGAGGGGGCUAGCGUUGUUCGGAAUUACUGGGCGUAAAGCGCACGUAGGCGGCUUUGUAAGUUAGAGGUGAAAGCCUGGAGCUCAACUCCAGAAUUGCCUUUAAGACUGCAUCGCUUGAAUCGCGGAGAGGUGAGUGGAAUUCCGAGUGUAGAGGUGAAAUUCGUAGAUAUUCGCAAGAACACCAGUGGCGAAGGCGGCUCUCUAGUACGGUACUGACGCUGAGACGCGAAAGCGUGGGGAGCGAACAGG
RNAcentral lists this ribosomal RNA (253 nucleotides) under uncultured bacterium. Its description in RNAcentral is "partial 16S ribosomal RNA". It matches the Rfam family "Bacterial small subunit ribosomal RNA", at positions 524 to 776 of the family's 1533-position model. The record is from RNAcentral.